UACGUAGGUGGCAAGCGUUGUCCGGAUUUAUUGGGUUUAAAGGGUGCGUAGGCGGGCAGGUAAGUCCGUGGUGAAAUCUCUGAGCUUAACUCAGAAACUGCCAUGGAUACUAUUUGUCUUGAAUAUUGUGGAGGUAAGCGGAAUAUGUCAUGUAGCGGUGAAAUGCUUAGAUAUGACAUAGAACACCAAUUGCGAAGGCAGCUUACUACACAGUUAUUGACGCUGAGGCACGAAAGCGUGGGGAUCAAACAGG
This 253-nucleotide ribosomal RNA is filed under the name uncultured bacterium. RNAcentral describes it as "partial 16S ribosomal RNA". It matches the Rfam family "Bacterial small subunit ribosomal RNA", at positions 524 to 776 of the family's 1533-position model. The record is from RNAcentral.